Molecule: unclassified non-coding RNA, 392 nt
Filed under: soil metagenome
Description: partial contains 5.8S ribosomal RNA, internal transcribed spacer 2, and large subunit ribosomal RNA
Rfam family: 5.8S ribosomal RNA (bases 1-122)
Source: RNAcentral
GAUGAAUAACGUAGCGAAAUGCGAUACGUAGUGUGAAUUGCAGAAUUCCGUGAAUCAUCGAAUCUUUGAACGCAAAUUGCGCUCGAGGCCUUCGGGUCAAGAGCAUGUCUGUUUCAGCGUCGGCUAUCCAAUCAAACCCCUUUUCUUUUGUGGAAAGAGGCUUUGGAGCUGACUGUCUCCAGCCUGCAUGGGCAGGAGUCUGUCGAAUAGCAUCGGCUAUGGUGACCCAUUUAAGGGGAUCCGGAUUGGUAGGUGACCUUACGGUUACAAAGCCACCGGAGCCCUGGGUGUUGCUGUAGCCUGCAGGAAUCGAGGAGUGCAAGCUCCUUUCCUUUCGACCUGAAAUCAGGCAAGACCACCCGCUGAACUUAAGCAUAUCAAUAAGCGGAGGA